AUACCCACGAAACCUAGCGGUAAAACCCGGUAAUGUUCCCAAUCGUUUGUUUACCAUUCAUUUUUGCGUUUGGGAUUUUAGAACUACUUCAUAUAAGGUCUGUGUUUCGUGUAGGUUUACCCAGGCGUGACGUUUUGAUGGCCAUGUAAUUCUCUCUCGGACAAGGCUCGAUGUGAUGUAGUCUCCACAACUGGAAGCUCGUGCUCGGAUCACACUGGCACAGGAUGUCCAUGCACCGGAUGGUCUGAGGAUGCACUCCUGUUGGACUGGAAAACAAAGUGACAUUUGGUCAGUGUCUGGAUCUUCCUCUUCUGCCAUGGUGGAUGAUC
Molecule: long non-coding RNA, 329 nt
Organism: Coregonus clupeaformis (lake whitefish)
Lineage: Eukaryota; Metazoa; Chordata; Actinopteri; Salmoniformes; Salmonidae
Exons: 3
Source: RefSeq, a predicted model, not a curated record